RNAcentral lists this ribosomal RNA (275 nucleotides) under uncultured bacterium. RNAcentral describes it as "partial 16S ribosomal RNA". It matches the Rfam family "Bacterial small subunit ribosomal RNA", at positions 338 to 606 of the family's 1533-position model. The record is from RNAcentral.
CCUACGGGUGGCAGCAGUGGGGAAUAUUGGGCAAUGGGCGCAAGCCUGACCCAGCCACGCCGCGUGAGUGAUGAAGGCCUUCGGGUCGUAAAGCUCUGUGGGGAGGGACGAAAACACGCUGGCUAAUAUCCAGCGGCUUGACGGUACCUCCUUAGCAAGCACCGGCUAACUCUGUGCCAGCAGCCGCGGUAAUACAGAGGGUGCAAACGUUGCUCGGAAUCAUUGGGCGUAAAGCGCACGUAGGCGGUCCAGCAAGCGGGGAGUGAAAGCCCUCG